Molecule: ribosomal RNA, 464 nt
Filed under: Vreelandella stevensii
Lineage: Bacteria; Pseudomonadati; Pseudomonadota; Gammaproteobacteria; Oceanospirillales; Halomonadaceae
Description: partial 16S ribosomal RNA
Rfam family: Bacterial small subunit ribosomal RNA
Source: RNAcentral
CCUACGGGGGGCAGCAGUGGGGAAUAUUGGACAAUGGGCGAAAGCCUGAUCCAGCCAUGCCGCGUGUGUGAAGAAGGCCUUCGGGUUGUAAAGCACUUUCAGUGGGGAAGAAAGCCUUGGGGCUAAUACCCUCGAGGAAGGACAUCACCCACAGAAGAAGCACCGGCUAACUCCGUGCCAGCAGCCGCGGUAAUACGGAGGGUGCGAGCGUUAAUCGGAAUUACUGGGCGUAAAGCGCGCGUAGGCGGUCUGAUAAGCCGGUUGUGAAAGCCCCGGGCUCAACCUGGGAACGGCAUCCGGAACUGUCAGGCUAGAGUGCAGGAGAGGAAGGUAGAAUUCCCGGUGUAGCGGUGAAAUGCGUAGAGAUCGGGAGGAAUACCAGUGGCGAAGGCGGCCUUCUGGACUGACACUGACGCUGAGGUGCGAAAGCGUGGGUAGCAACAGGAUUAGAUACCCUGGUAGUC